This 134-nucleotide ribosomal RNA is filed under the name Listeria monocytogenes. RNAcentral describes it as "partial 23S ribosomal RNA". It matches the Rfam family "Bacterial large subunit ribosomal RNA", at positions 2797 to 2925 of the family's 2925-position model. Lineage: Bacteria; Bacillati; Bacillota; Bacilli; Caryophanales; Listeriaceae. The record is from RNAcentral.
CCUCAAGAUGAGAUUUCCCAACUUCGGUUAUAAGAUCCCUCGAAGAUGACGAGGUUAAUAGGUUCGAGGUGGAAGCGUGGUGACACGUGGAGCUGACGAAUACUAAUCGAUCGAAGACUUAAUCAAUUUUUAAA